RNAcentral lists this ribosomal RNA (1372 nucleotides) under uncultured bacterium. RNAcentral's name for it is "bacterial SSU rRNA". It matches the Rfam family "Bacterial small subunit ribosomal RNA", at positions 28 to 1381 of the family's 1533-position model. The record is from RNAcentral.
GAUGAACGCUGGCGGCGUGCCUAAUACAUGCAAGUCGAGCGAACGGACGAGAAGCUUGCUUCUCUGAUGUUAGCGGCGGACGGGUGAGUAACACGUGGAUAACCUACCUAUAAGACUGGGAUAACUUCGGGAAACCGGAGCUAAUACCGGAUAAUAUUUUGAACCGCAUGGUUCAAAAGUGAAAGACGGUCUUGCUGUCACUUAUAGAUGGAUCCGCGCUGCAUUAGCUAGUUGGUAAGGUAACGGCUUACCAAGGCAACGAUGCAUAGCCGACCUGAGAGGGUGAUCGGCCACACUGGAACUGAGACACGGUCCAGACUCCUACGGGAGGCAGCAGUAGGGAAUCUUCCGCAAUGGGCGAAAGCCUGACGGAGCAACGCCGCGUGAGUGAUGAAGGUCUUCGGAUCGUAAAACUCUGUUAUUAGGGAAGAACAUAUGUGUAAGUAACUGUGCACAUCUUGACGGUACCUAAUCAGAAAGCCACGGCUAACUACGUGCCAGCAGCCGCGGUAAUACGUAGGUGGCAAGCGUUAUCCGGAAUUAUUGGGCGUAAAGCGCGCGUAGGCGGUUUUUUAAGUCUGAUGUGAAAGCCCACGGCUCAACCGUGGAGGGUCAUUGGAAACUGGAAAACUUGAGUGCAGAAGAGGAAAGUGGAAUUCCAUGUGUAGCGGUGAAAUGCGCAGAGAUAUGGAGGAACACCAGUGGCGAAGGCGACUUUCUGGUCUGUAACUGACGCUGAUGUGCGAAAGCGUGGGGAUCAAACAGGAUUAGAUACCCUGGUAGUCCACGCCGUAAACGAUGAGUGCUAAGUGUUAGGGGGUUUCCGCCCCUUAGUGCUGCAGCUAACGCAUUAAGCACUCCGCCUGGGGAGUACGACCGCAAGGUUGAAACUCAAAGGAAUUGACGGGGACCCGCACAAGCGGUGGAGCAUGUGGUUUAAUUCGAAGCAACGCGAAGAACCUUACCAAAUCUUGACAUCCUUUGACAACUCUAGAGAUAGAGCCUUCUCCUUCGGGGGACAAAGUGACAGGUGGUGCAUGGUUGUCGUCAGCUCGUGUCGCGAGAUGUUGGGUUAAGUCCCGCAACGAGCGCAACCCUUAAGCUUAGUUGCCAUCAUUAAGUUGGGCACUCUAAGUUGACUGCCGGUGACAAACCGGAGGAAGGUGGGGAUGACGUCAAAUCAUCAUGCCCCUUAUGAUUUGGGCUACACACGUGCUACAAUGGACAAUACAAAGGGCAGCGAAACCGCGAGGUCAAGCAAAUCCCAUAAAGUUGUUCUCAGUUCGGAUUGUAGUCUGCAACUCGACUACAUGAAGCUGGAAUCGCUAGUAAUCGUAGAUCAGCAUGCUACGGUGAAUACGUUCCCGGGUCU